UUUGGACUGCUUGUGUAUAUAUACAGACAAUCCAAUUGCAUUACUCAUUGAGACAUUUGACUUUGACACAGUACAGAAAGCGAUUUGCUGGUCUUAUAAUCCAUUAUGCUGUCUCCGAAUUACCACCAAGAACGAGAAGUUAGCCAGUCGAGGGUUCAACCAUGUUUUAUUAUCGAGAAUAGAGACACUCUUACUAUGCUCAUGCAUCAAGAUUUUGGACUUCUGAAUUAGUUUUAUUUUUCCAAAGUGGAACUGGCAAAGUGGAAAGGCCAUCACUCAGUGGAAGAGCAUCUGCCUUGCAUGCAGAAGAUCCCCAAUCCCCAGUAUAACCAGAUGUACCGCCAAAAUUCUGGGGGUGGAGUUGAGAAACAAAUCAUGGUUCCAUCAAGAUCCUUUUUGUGGCAUUCUUCCAACGUGCAGCAAUAAAAGCGACAAUAAUUUCAAUAGGAUCAUAUCUAUGAUCUGAUCAAGGUUGCUUUUUUACCGUGUUUUGUCAUCACUGCACAUCAGGCAUACAGAGGAGGGAAAAGAUGCUGAAUGAACUGAAGCUGCAGCAAACUGAACAUGCUCCAAUUCCAGAAUUAAUUUUAGAAAUUCUCCUAACUGAAAAGAAAAUAUCUGAAAUUCUAGGAGUUAUGAUGAUGAUGCCCGCAGAAACAAUAUAAUGCUUUCACCUGCUGGACAAGGAAAGAAAAUGAAGUUUCCAAUGUAACAUGUUUGCAGAAUGAAAAACUUUAACAGACCAGUAGGAUAAGGUUUAAUUUGCAUAAUUUAUAUGGGCCUCAAUAUUAAUCUUGAGUUGCCGUGGCUUGCGUGAGCUUCCCUGGCUUGUAAGCUUCCCAAGGGCAUCAUAUUAUGCCAGCACUUUAUCAUCUUUAGUGACUUCUGGUCUGUUUCUGAGCCCAGUUCAAACUGCUGACUUUGACCUGUAAAGGCUUGACAGCUUGGAACCUCAGUACCUGGAGGAUCAGUUCUCACUACAUGGGCCUACCCAGGCCUUAAGGUAAUCUUCUGAGGCGCUUUUCUGAGCAUCCCAACCAAAUGAGGUGAAAGGGCCUCAUGACUAUGAAAGGGCCUUUUAAGCAGUGCCACCUCACUAGCUGUGGAAUGGCCUCCCCAGGAAGGUCUGCCUGGCACCUACUUUCUGGUGCCAGACAAAUCCUUUUAUUUUUUCUUUCUUUUUAGUUUCCGCAGGUCUUUUAACUUAUUUGUUUAGUAUGGUUUCAGCUCUAUGAAUUUUCACUCUUUUGUUUUGUGGGGUUUUUUAAAAAUAAAAUGUAUGUAAUGCUGCAGGGGUUUUUUAAGCAGGCCUUUUAGUUGUGUUCUAUUUCAUGCUAUAGUUGUGUUCUGUUGUAUUUUUAUUGGGCUUUAUCCAACUGUGCCCCUCCGAUGAUGGAAGGCUAUGGGUGGAAUGGAAAGGAGGCAUUUUUUGCUACUUCCCCCUUCCUUCUGAAGCCCAUUGCAUGUGUGUGUAUGGGCGCGCACGUGCAUGCGUGCACACACAAUCUGCUCCAGAUGGUUGGGAAACCCUUUGGAACAACAACUGAGGUGGCAUGGGGGGGGACUUCAGGCUCCAACAGAAGGAAGGAAUUUGGGACAAUAAGCUUCCUCCCUUUUCCACUCAUAGGAGCCUCUGGUGGCUCAGAGAGCUUUCCAUCAGUAGAGGAACAGAACUGCAUACAACCCAUUGUAUUAUUUUACCUUGUAACCCACCUGGAGAAUUUCUGUUAUGGGGUGUUAAACAGUUAUGUAUAAAUAGUAAUGUAAAAUAGUAUAAACAAGCAAGCAAGCAAGCAAGCAAAUCCUGGGAAGCAGAACACACUAGAUGGACUUUUGGUAUGCUCAAAAUGUGGCUGAUUGUCUGUCUUUGUUUCCAAGCACAUUAGAAUGCAAUUUCUAGUGACAAGAAUUGAGAAGUUUUGACCAUAUAAAUUGUGUGCAUCCGAGUGCUUUAAAAAAUAUUUUGGCAGCGAAAUAGCCCCCUUCUUUCAGACUGAGCACCAUAUCAUUCAUUACGUCUGUUCUGUCUGUUGCUGGUUCCAUGGUGGAGUCAGUAAAAGUUUUGUCGAGUCUCAUUUCCUCCAAGGAAAACUGGAUGGGAGAUGUUGACUUCUGCAUUUUACAGCUCUCUGAGCUUUCAUCCAAAAAUAAGGAGGGGGGUUGUUUAACUAGAACUUUCCAUGCUGGAUCUUUCAGUGGAAAAAGUGGGGGGAACAAAGCAAAAUUGGCCAAUGGGGAAUCAAAGCACUGGGCACAUCUCUGUUGUCAGCCACAAAGAAGGCAGGAAGGUCUGAUGGAUAUGGACCAAGACCUUCAUAGCCUUAUGACUGGCUCCAUCACUAAUUUGUUGCAUGGCUUCAGACAAGAAACUAUACACUUUGGCCAAGUUGUUCGACUCCAUGGAUAGGAGGUUUAGUUAAUAUUUUCACAAUACUUUAGAGAGAAUGGUGCGGUUUCGGUCUGUAAUAGAAUUUGGCUUCCUGGAAUUGAAUCACACAUGAGAGGGCAUUGGUUGAUAUUUUGAUUUUAUGUUUAUUAUUUAUUUCAUUUAUUACAUUUUUAUCCUGCCCUUCCUGCAGGGCAGCAAAGUUAAAGGUAAAUAAAAUGAUUUUAAUAUUACACAUCACUUGACUCACAGCUGUAAAUUCACUCAUUGAAGCACAUUAGAUUUGAAGUGAUGUGAUCUUUCAAAUAUACAAGUCAUCACAACAUUGCAGCUGCAGAGUACUGAACAUUCAGGUGUGAAUUCACCAUCAUCCUCUUCACCAGUUUACAACAGCAACUGGAGAGGGUUGUGGGUUACUAGGAAAUGACUUGGAAACAUAA
Long non-coding RNA from Rhineura floridana, 2826 nucleotides. RefSeq lists it as uncharacterized. Lineage: Eukaryota; Metazoa; Chordata; Lepidosauria; Squamata; Rhineuridae. The record is from RefSeq and is a predicted model, not a curated record. The transcript is spliced from 4 exons.